GUCUAUGGCCAUACUACCCUGAACACGCCCAAUCUUGUCUUAUCUCGGAAGCUAAGCAGGGUUGGUCCUGGUUAGUACUUGAAUGGGAGAUAAACA
This 96-nucleotide ribosomal RNA is filed under the name Ochotona princeps (American pika). Lineage: Eukaryota; Metazoa; Chordata; Mammalia; Lagomorpha; Ochotonidae. The record is from RNAcentral.